UUUGGAUUUUUUCUUUUUGAACUAACUCUCACGUGACACACAGAGAUAGCUGCCAUAUUGGAUUCUUUCAUCAGGGAAUAACUUUUCUUUUAGCCUUAUCUAAUAAAACCUUCCUUGCUCCCCAAUUCAUCUGCUCAGCUAUAUAAACAUUAAACACACACAAACAAAAAAGAGAAUACGGGGGAACAAAAAGAAAAAGAACGGGAAAAGUUCGAUAGCCUAUCUUCUCGAGCCAUUAACCACCCAUGAAACUCCACUCAUCCCCUCCAUUUUAACUUCCAAAAACCAGCUCCAAAAGCCAUGAAAAUAAGUCCCAAACCCUGCUGAAAAAGUGUUGGAAAACAUGCCUAAAACCAGUCCUUCAACAGCUGCGAAACAACCCUGAACUAGCCCCAAAAUCACGCCAAACUAGCAUGAAAAUCAGCUGAAAGUAACCCCAAAAUAACUCCAUCAAACCAGCUGUGAAAACACACCAAAUCCACCUAAAAUACAGCUAUAAAACACCCCGUCAAACCACCUCGAAGAUCGCCAGUUUCACCCUUUAAAACAUGCAUAGAGAUUCCCAAAAUUGGAGUAGUUCGAGUUGAAGGUACGGACGAGUUUAAGUCGAGGUUCGAGGUCGUCAGUGAGAGAUUCAGUCCGAGUUCUGGUUGUUGACUCGUGUGCCGACUCUUGUAUUCCAAUGUUAUCAACGUUAAAGAUCUCAAUUUGAGAUCCAGGUACUUUCGGACGCGGUGAUCUCUAGAGUCUGUUGCUACCAGCUUUACGGAGACUACGAGGAAAUCGGACUUGAAGAGGCAAGAACAUGAAAAAGAUGUCAAAAACCUGAAGAAGUCAGUUUUGCGGCUGAUCUGCGACCGAAGACUAGCUAUGUGAACCGCACUUCAAUCAUAGAUGGUAUCGUGCCUGCCUGGCUUUAAGAGUUUCAAAUGCGGUUUAAUACGCGAUUGCAUAACUGAUGUGCGGACCGCAAAAUUAUGACACAAAUACAAGAGGAAUUCUAGUGAUCCAAAGAGAUGAAUCUGUGAUCUACUUUGCGGACCGCGAAAUAAUUAUGUGGAUCGCAUAACUGAUAUGCGAUGAAAAUCUGAAAUCGCUGAGGAUCAAUCUACGGUAUUGCGACAAAUGUGAAGACCGCAGAUCGUAUUCGCGGUCCAUUCCGCGACCGUAGAAGUCUCCUGGAGCCUAUUUUUGUCACAAAUUUGUCCGCAUGUUUUGGGACAUUAUAAAUAGAAGAGCUAGGAUUUUUGUUGGAAAUCUUGUAUGAAAAAGGUCCUACAUUGAGUGCAUUGAAUACUACC
Nicotiana tabacum (common tobacco) is the source of this 1301-nucleotide long non-coding RNA. RefSeq lists it as uncharacterized. Lineage: Eukaryota; Viridiplantae; Streptophyta; Magnoliopsida; Solanales; Solanaceae. The record is from RefSeq and is a predicted model, not a curated record.